ACGUCAAAUCAUCAUGCCCCUUAUGUCUUGGGCUACACACGUGCUACAAUGGCUCGAACAAAGUGACGCAAAGCCGCGAGGCGGCGCAAACCACGAAAACGAGUCUCAGUUCGGAUUAUAGUCUGCAACCCGACUAUAUGAAGUUGGAAUCGCUAGUAAUCGCAAAUCAGCAUGUUGCGGUGAAUACGUUCCCGGGUCUU
Molecule: ribosomal RNA, 200 nt
Filed under: uncultured prokaryote
Description: partial 16S ribosomal RNA
Rfam family: Bacterial small subunit ribosomal RNA
Source: RNAcentral